The sequence is a non-coding RNA, 89 nucleotides long. It matches the Rfam family "sodF sRNA". Rfam says of the family: Identified in Streptomyces coelicolor. It is produced from sodF mRNA by cleavage of about 90 nucleotides from its 3'UTR. However, it does not affect the function of sodF mRNA, but acts on another mRNA called sodN. s-SodF RNA has a sequence complimentary to sodN mRNA from the 5'-end up to the ribosome binding site.
UCGUCCGACUCGUGAUCGUCUUCUCACCUUUCACGUGCGGACGGAUGAAAGAAGGACCCCCGCGAGGACAUGACUCGCGGGGGUCCUUC